Cebus imitator (Panamanian white-faced capuchin) is the source of this 1631-nucleotide long non-coding RNA. RefSeq lists it as uncharacterized. The record is from RefSeq and is a predicted model, not a curated record. The transcript has 5 exons. NCBI's taxonomy places the organism in Eukaryota, Metazoa, Chordata, Mammalia, Primates, Cebidae.
CUCCCGCUCGAGUCUAGCCCCGGGCUCCGCAGCGAAGGAAGCGUAGAGGACGUCCCACCCCCGCAGGGAACUGUGCCUGCUGCCCCCGCAGGGCCCCGCACCGCCCCGGCUCUCCCCCCACUCGCCCCCCAGAAGGUCGGCUUCGGUGGAGAGAAACCGGAGCAGCAAUGCCUUUUCCCCCCCUCUCCUCCACUUUUUUUUGUUGUUGUUGUUGCUUUCCCACGCUGGCUGAAUGUGACUUGACCCCAUUUCAAAAAAGUUUGACAUAGUGCUUCAACAUUUCCGCAUUCCUCCGCGACUACAAAGGCUGCAGCCGCCUCCUUCUGCUUUCUGUCUCUGCUCUCUGUCUUCACACUCAAUGAAAUCCUUCAUGCGCCUCUCCCGAAGCCUGCCAAGCACCACAAGGGUCGCCACCAGCACAGCGACAAGAGGCCACACCGGGGACCGCGAUUCCCGCGUGUGCGCACACGCAGAUGCACCUCUGUGCACACGGUCGGGCGCGCUUUGGGUACCAGGGUUGCUCACUGCGGGGCGUGUGUUUAACUCCAAUAUUUUAAAUUAUAAAAGUAAACUUGGAAACUAAAGCAAACGUGCGUCUUCGUGGGGCUCCAAGCCUGGGCACUGGCCGGUUGCGUGCACUCUUCUGUGCAUAACACGCCCGCAGGAAGCCUGCGCUAACAUUUAUCUCGUGGAGGGGAACGUGGAGCCCACACCCACACCUCAGCGAGCUGGAGGGGGAGCUUUGGUGGGGGAAAUAUGGGGGAUAGAAGCACAUUUUCCAGCAUGGAGUCCCCAGAGGCAGUGCAUUUUAAACCCUAAAUGUGAAUUUAUCCCACCCACCCGAGCGCACAGCUCCUCACCUGAGGGGCCCAGUCGCGUCGGGCCUCCCGAGGGGGCUGCGAGUGUCAGUCGGCUCUCCGCACGUGUCCACGGCCUGGUGGAGCAGCGCUGCAAGCUAUUUGGCAUAUGAAGGUCUUGACCUGAGAAAACCAUCUUGGAUAACCACAGCAAGGAAAAGGAAAAAUGCAACACCUAGGAGAUUUCAGUAAACAGUAGAAUCAUGCCAACCUAAUCUGUGUUAAAAUGCUUGGAAUGUGGGAGCCGCUGAUGAUGCCUGUUGUCUGUGUGUCUGACUGAAUCCUUUCUUUUCUCAGAGCAGCAAAGCAAAGCCUGGGAACCAGGCCAAAUGCCUGCCACUUACCUUAAAUUGAUCAGCCACUUUGAGAUUAAAACCCCUGAAAGCUGCCACACCGUGAAAACAAGGCCUCCUUCACAUUAAAGGCAAAUUGCGACUUUGGGUUUGCUGUGAUCUUUUUUCCAUUUUAUCCAGUUUUUCACAGUGUACUUUUUUUCCCCCUUUCCAUUUAUGCUCCAAUAUAGAAGCCAAUAGUUACAGCAUCUUGGCCAAGCAUUCAUUAAGGUUUAUAAGAACAAAAUUUAUGGUUAUUUAGGAGUUGGCGCAAAGGCAGACUGUUGCUGGAAAAAGAAAAAGAAAUACAGGGGAAUGAGAAAGCUCUUUGCCCCAUCUUUGCAAUAUUUAUGAAGUUGCUCUGCAACGGACCUAUUUAAUUGUGCAUGGAUAUAAGUACUUCCUCCAAACUACACACUCUUAAAGCUCCACAAGGGCAAGG